AGCUAGUUGGUGAGGUAAUGGCUCACCAAGGCAAUGACACCUAACUGGUUUGAGAGGAUGAUCAGUCACACUGGAACUGAGACACGGUCCAGACUCCUACGGGAGGCAGCAGUGGGGAAUAUUGCACAAUGGACGAAAGUCUGAUGCAGCAACGCCGCGUGGAGGAUGACACAUUUCGGUGCGUAAACUCCUUUUAUAUAGGAAGAUAAUGACGGUACUAUAUGAAUAAGCACCGGCUAACUCCGUGCCAGCAGCCGCGGUAAUACGGAGGGUGCAAGCGUUACUCGGAAUUACUGGGCGUAAAGAGCGUGUAGGCGGGUAAAUAAGUUGGAAGUGAAAUCCUAUGGCUCAACCAUAGAACUGCUUCCAAAACUGUUAACCUAGAAUGUGGGAGAGGUAGAUGGAAUUUCUGGUGUAGGGGUAAAAUCCGUAGAUAUCAGAAGGAAUACCGAUUGCGAAGGCGAUCUACUGGAACACUAUUGACGCUGAGACGCGAAAGCGUGGGGAGCAAACAGGAUUAGAUACCCUGGUAGUCCACGCCCUAAACGAUGUACACUAGUUGUUGUGAGGCUAGACCUUGCAGUAAUGCAGUUAACACAUUAAGUGUACCGCCUGGGGAGUACGGUCGCAAGAUUAAAACUCAAAGGAAUAGACGGGGACCCGCACAAGCGGUGGAGCAUGUGGUUUAAUUCGACAUACGCGAAGAACCUUACCUGGUCUUGACAUAGAAAGAACUUUCCAGAGAUGGAUUGGUGCCUGCUUGCAGGAGCUUUCAUACAGGUGCUGCACGGCUGUCGUCAGCUCGUGUCGUGAGAUGUUGGGUUAAGUCCCGCAACGAGCGCAACCCUCGUCGUUAGUUGCUAACAGUUCGGCUGAGAACUCUAACGAGACUGCCUACGCAAGUAGGAGGAAGGUGAGGACGACGUCAAGUCAUCAUGGCCCUUACGACCAGGGCUACACACGUGCUACAAUGGGGUAUACAAAGAGCAGCGAUACGGUGACGUGGAGCGAAUCUCAAAAAUGCCUCCCAGUUCGGAUAGUAGUCUGCAACUCGACUACUUGAAGUUGGAAUCGCUAGUAAUCGUAGAUCAGCUAUGCUACGGUGAAUACGUUCCCGGGUCUUGUACUCACCGCCCGUCACACCAUGGGAGUUGAAUUCAUUCGAAGCGGGGAUGCUAAAAUAGCUACCUUCCACAGUGGAUUUAGCGACUGGGGUGAAGUCGUAACAAGGUAACCGUAGGAGAACCUGCGGUUG
This 1255-nucleotide ribosomal RNA is filed under the name metagenome. Its description in RNAcentral is "bacterial SSU rRNA". It matches the Rfam family "Bacterial small subunit ribosomal RNA", at positions 243 to 1520 of the family's 1533-position model. The record is from RNAcentral.